UACGUAGGGUGCAAGCGUUAAUCGGAAUUACUGGGCGUAAAGCGUGCGCAGGCGGUUUGUAAGUUUGUCGUGAAAUCCCCGGCUCAACCUGGAUGGCGAUGAAGACUGCAAGGCUAGAAUCUGCAGAGGGGGUAGAAUUCCACGUGUAGCAGUGAAUGCGUAGAGAUGUGGAGACACGAUGCGCAGCAGCCCUGGAUGAGAUUAGCGCUCA
Molecule: ribosomal RNA, 211 nt
Filed under: uncultured bacterium
Lineage: Bacteria
Description: partial 16S ribosomal RNA
Rfam family: Bacterial small subunit ribosomal RNA
Source: RNAcentral